RNAcentral lists this transfer RNA (121 nucleotides) under Deltaproteobacteria bacterium. Its description in RNAcentral is "tRNA-OTHER". The stretch from base 59 to 115 matches the Rfam family "tRNA", at positions 10 to 63 of the family's 71-position model. Lineage: Bacteria; Pseudomonadati; Myxococcota; Myxococcia. The record is from RNAcentral.
GCCCUGGUGCAAAACGGCAGAUCUUGACCGGCAGAAGCCUCACAGUCAUCCAAGAUUUUGGAUUUAGGACUUCCAGACGGACUUUUAAUCCGUUGGUCGCAGGUUCGACUCCUGCCGGGCU